RNAcentral lists this ribosomal RNA (317 nucleotides) under uncultured eukaryote. RNAcentral describes it as "partial 18S ribosomal RNA". It matches the Rfam family "Eukaryotic small subunit ribosomal RNA", at positions 1470 to 1796 of the family's 1831-position model. The record is from RNAcentral.
CCCUUAGAUGUUCUGGGCUGCACGCGCGCUACACUGACAUGUCCAGCGAGCUCCCAACCUGCUCGGCAAAGAAUGGGUACCCUUUUUAACGCAUGUCGUGAUGGGGAUAGAUUAUUGCAAUUGUUGAUCUUGAACGAGGAAUUCCUAGUAAGUGCAAGUCAUUAGCUUGUGCUGAAUACGUCCCUGCCCUUUGUACACACCGCCCGUCGCUCCUACCGAUUGAUUGAUCCGGUGAAUUACAUAGAAUUUUGCGUUUUACAUGACGGAAGACGAAGUGUUUUAAACCUUAUCAUUUAGAGGAAGGAGAAGUCGUAACA